UUUUCGAUGGCGGUUGGCUGCUGGUACAGUAGGCCCGCCUGGUACAUGCCGACAGGGCAGGAAACGCUGCUCCGGCUUUAUUCUGCACUCGUGUGAGGGUGGGCAACCCUCCAAGUUGUGAGUGUAAUGACUGGAGAACAAGGCGACAUCGGAUUUUGAAAUCGACACCAGAGGUGGAUCUACUAAAGCCUUGGAUGAGUUUGAAUCUCAGUUAGCGCAGCCUCAAGAUCACUUCAAGCAUAUAGUCAGAUGGCCUUACAGCACAGCGAGAAGAGUCAGCGUCACUCCAGAGCUCCAGUUUGUAAUUCUUGUAAUUAUAUUAAACCAGCUUUUUUUCCACUUUUACUUUCACACUCUCUUCAGACUCUUAACCUCAAUUAGUUGACUUGACUUAAACCAUUUAAGGCUUCAGCCUGCUGCCUUCUGGCAAGAGGUACCAGAGCAUUCGGGCCAGACUACAAAACAGGUGUCAGUCUCCUGAACACUCAGACACUGGUCUGACACACACACACACGCAACCCCGUUCACCUAUCUUAGU
Long non-coding RNA from Haplochromis burtoni (Burton's mouthbrooder), 538 nucleotides. RefSeq lists it as uncharacterized. The transcript is spliced from 3 exons. The record is from RefSeq and is a predicted model, not a curated record. Lineage: Eukaryota; Metazoa; Chordata; Actinopteri; Cichliformes; Cichlidae.